Molecule: long non-coding RNA, 1294 nt
Organism: Numida meleagris (helmeted guineafowl)
Lineage: Eukaryota; Metazoa; Chordata; Aves; Galliformes; Numididae
Exons: 3
Source: RefSeq, a predicted model, not a curated record
CACACCCCUUCCCAGACCUCAUUUAAGGGUUGGCAGUGGAGGAAAGGGUAACUCUCUGAAGAUUCUUAUGUACCUAAGGCCUUCUAAAGACUGUAUCCCUUCAACCUGAACCAACCCUUUUCUGAAGAAAUCUGUGUGGUCUGGAACAGAUGCAGAGAUAUCAGAGUUCACCUAGGACAUAAUCAACAGCUCCUGCAGUUCCUUCCAGGCUGGCGUUAACUUUUGGGCGUCUAUUCUCCCAGUGAACGGUGUUCUCUGUGCUGAAACACAUCUUGGCAUGGCGAGGAUUAAAGCACAGGAUUGAUUAGAGAGAAGCACUUUGAAAGAUUGUGCUGUAAGGAUACAUUUACAUCUCAGACACCAGUUCACACUAUGUUUGGUAACAUUAACUCCACAAACGCUAUCUCUACAAAACACUGCUGGAUUUAGAUGUAAGUGUACAGCCAUUGCCUGCCUGACCUCGAAGACAUUUUGUACAUGUGUCCUAAUUCAUCCUUUCUAUAGAAGACUUAAUGCUCCUGUUUUUUUCUGGGGGCACACUCCUGCUCUACCAGAAAUAGAUACCUGCUUGUGGUUAUGUUACAUCCCCUUCUAAUGAAGGUUGCAAGCUCUAGCUGAUUUUCACUUAUGAGCACCACAGUUAAAACAUGGUGAAUGACUACAGUGCUUGAGAAAGGAAAGAGAAACCCAGCCUUCAGUGUUUGGGGCAGAGAGCAGGAUGUAAUCCUACAAGUUCCUCCUCACAGAAGGUCUCAUCACUCAAAUACAUUGCAGCUCUGCUCCUCUGCCUGCUCUUGCAAAUACCCAUCAGGAAUGGUAUCUUUCACUUUUUGCAAGAAUCUCCCUCCCGUCCCAGCCCUGAAGCACUUUUGGACUACAUGCAACUGAUAAUUCUGAGAGCUGCCUUGGAAUAAACGUCUUGAUUUCCUGAAGACCUCAGGCUGGGGAUCCUGAAGCACAGACAGGAGCCACGCUUACAUCGCUUCCUUAAGGCAUUAAUGUGAAUUCCAGUUCUAGUGGCUAAGCCUGUGCAUGGAACUCCAAGCGCACCCUUAACAGUGGAUGCCUUGUCAACAAACACUUAAGCUUUUUAAAAGGCAAUGCAUCAACAUUGUUACCCUGAUCUGGGAAAGUGUAGCCUUCAGCCCAUGUGACAGCACAGUAACCAAAGUAUAUGCGUGAGGAGGCAUCAGAUGGGGCUCAAAAACCAUAGCAAAAUUAUUAUACCAUCUUCUUAAAGAAAAUAGUCAUUGUCAAGAGCAACUCAGCUCUGAAGGGCAAAAAAAAAAAAAAA